UGAAAGUACUUCCCUUUGGACUCGAAUCUUUAGCUAUUGUAGAAGAGAACGAUUUGGUGGUAAAAGGAAAUGCAUUUUGCACAAUGCUCACUGUAACUCUUAAAUUACGCCAUUUCUGUAAUUCCACAGACUUUCUUCCAUGGAGAAUUAGAGAAAACAUGAGGAAGAUGAAGAUUGGCGAGGAAGGAGUAAGAAUACGAAAUUAGGGUUUAAG
This is a long non-coding RNA of Arabidopsis thaliana (thale cress), 214 nucleotides long. RefSeq annotates it as other RNA. Lineage: Eukaryota; Viridiplantae; Streptophyta; Magnoliopsida; Brassicales; Brassicaceae. The transcript has a single exon. The record is from RefSeq.